Molecule: unclassified non-coding RNA, 207 nt
Filed under: Hevea brasiliensis (rubber tree)
Lineage: Eukaryota; Viridiplantae; Streptophyta; Magnoliopsida; Malpighiales; Euphorbiaceae
Source: RNAcentral
GCAUAAACAAAUUUACUUACAAUCUUAUUAAUUAAAAUUAAAAUUCUAAAACUGAAGCAAAAGGGAGAUAUCUUUUACUGGUUUGUAUUGGGUAAAGUGCUAGAUAUUAUCCAUAUUGGUAGCCAUUAGUACUCUUCUGCUAGUGCAAUAGAUGAGUGAUUCAGAAAUGGCAAAGACAACUAUGCUUCAAGAAAAAAUAAAGCACUU